GUGCUCUCGAGUACAGGGAUCGCUUAAUCUGCAAGAUCCAUCCCGUCAGGAGACCUGGAGACUCUGUCCAGAUGGAGCCCUGGGUAAAUGCACUGUAAAACACAAAACCAGCAGAUUUCCCGCUGAUAACCAGUAGAUGGGAGCAGAGAGCUCCUUCCUCUGCAGAGCACUGAAACACUGUUUACAUAACAUACUUAAUCAUUUUUUUUCAAAUGUGUCAUACAGAAGUUUUACAGUGCUGCUUGUCUAGAAACUUCUUCCUUUCAAGUGGAAGGAAGAAAGAGAGUGAAGAGGCACACCAGAGUCCUAUAGAGCUACUGCACUUCAACACUUCUGUCAUGUUUCUGCUCUUUACAUUCCUUUCCAGAACAAUUUCUAAGUAUUAAGACAGAGCCUGCUACCCAUACUUCUUGCUUAUUUUAUAAGGGUGUGACAAGAUAGUUACAAAUACUCCACAGGCUGACAGGAAGGAUAUUUGCAACACUCAGCUUUAUACAUCCAGCUUGGCUGAUUAAGUUAAAAGGGUGUUAUGCCUUGAGCUCCUUAUGUAAACUGUAGGGAAAACAGCUCCUUUGAGGGAGACUGAGAGCAAGACUUACAUCAUGUGGAUGGAACGGAACAAGCUGAGGGCAACCAGCUGGAAACCAGAUGGGUCCUGGAUGACACCAUGAUGACCAUGAGAUAGCAAAGUGUUGUGGUGGCAAAGACCAACAUCUUCCUGAGCUACUUUAGGUGAGGCAUUGCCAGGAGGUCAAGGGAGGUGACCCUUCCCCUCUACUCAGCACUGGUGAGACCCAUCUGGAGUGCUGGGUCCACCUCUGAGCCCCUCAGGACAGAAGAGACAUGGACAUACUAGAACAAAUCCAGCAAAAGGGCAUGAAGACGCAUGAAGAGUAUCUGUCGUGAGGAGAAGCUGAGAGAGCUGGGUUUGUUCAGCCUGGAGGAGAGAAGGCUCAGGAGAACCUCAAUCAAUGUAUAUAAAAACCUUCUUAUUCCUCUUUGAAUUUUUUUCUUGCUUCUCAAAAUGUAAGUUAUAUCACCAUUAUCAUUUUCACAUCAGUAAAUCGCUUUUAAGUGAUCCUAAUAGCAUUACUUGAUGACAGGAUUUUUGAGGGAACUAAGGGAAUCUAAUUUACACAUCACGCUCAUGCUUUUGUUCAAAGGCUUUUUGUUUAGUCUGUUCGCAUACCAGCCCUACAUAUAAAGCCAUUUCUGAUGAAGCAAAGUUAUACUAUUUUAAAUAUAUAUUCACAGAUAGAAAGGCCAGAUCUCUAUCCUGAGCUUCAUAUUACAAUGUGCAGUAUGUAACUUUGCAAUUCUACUCUAUGCAUGUAAUUCUGACACAGUAAGAGUUUUUAUUUUCAAGAAGCUACCUUCCUAUCAAAA
Molecule: long non-coding RNA, 1386 nt
Filed under: Anser brachyrhynchus (Pink-footed goose)
Lineage: Eukaryota; Metazoa; Chordata; Aves; Anseriformes; Anatidae
Description: lncRNA (ENSABRG00000013317.1)
Source: RNAcentral